This 860-nucleotide ribosomal RNA is filed under the name Escherichia coli. RNAcentral's name for it is "partial 23S ribosomal RNA". It matches the Rfam family "Bacterial large subunit ribosomal RNA", at positions 327 to 1191 of the family's 2925-position model. Lineage: Bacteria; Pseudomonadati; Pseudomonadota; Gammaproteobacteria; Enterobacterales; Enterobacteriaceae. The record is from RNAcentral.
UGUUAGUGGAAGCGUCUGGAAAGGCGCGCGAUACAGGGUGACAGCCCCGUACACAAAAAUGCACAUACUGUGAGCUCGAUGAGUAGGGCGGGACACGUGGUAUCCUGUCUGAAUAUGGGGGGACCAUCCUCCAAGGCUAAAUACUCCUGACUGACCGAUAGUGAACCAGUACCGUGAGGGAAAGGCGAAAAGAACCCCGGCGAGGGGAGUGAAAAAGAACCUGAAACCGUGUACGUACAAGCAGUGGGAGCACGCUUCGGCGUGUGACUGCGUACCUUUUGUAUAAUGGGUCAGCGACUUAUAUUCUGUAGCAAGGUUAACCGAAUAGGGGAGCCGAAGGGAAACCGAGUCUUAACUGGGCGUUAAGUUGCAGGGUAUAGACCCGAAACCCGGUGAUCUAGCCAUGGGCAGGUUGAAGGUUGGGUAACACUAACUGGAGGACCGAACCGACUAAUGUUGAAAAAUUAGCGGAUGACUUGUGGCUGGGGGUGAAAGGCCAAUCAAACCGGGAGAUAGCUGGUUCUCCCCGAAAGCUAUUUAGGUAGCGCCUCGUGAAUUCAUCUCCGGGGGUAGAGCACUGUUUCGGCAAGGGGGUCAUCCCGACUUACCAACCCGAUGCAAACUGCGAAUACCGGAGAAUGUUAUCACGGGAGACACACGGCGGGUGCUAACGUCCGUCGUGAAGAGGGAAACAACCCAGACCGCCAGCUAAGGUCCCAAAGUCAUGGUUAAGUGGGAAACGAUGUGGGAAGGCCCAGACAGCCAGGAUGUUGGCUUAGAAGCAGCCAUCAUUUAAAGAAAGCGUAAUAGCUCACUGGUCGAGUCGGCCUGCGCGGAAGAUGUAACGGGGCUAAACCAUG